GUAGGCAACCUGCCCCUUAGCCUGGGAUAACUACCGGAAACGGUAGCUAAUACCGGAUAAUUUCUUUGUUCUCCUGAAGAGAGAAUGAAAGACGGAGCAAUCUGUCACUGAGGGAUGGGCCUGCGGCGCAUUAGCUAGUUGGUGAGGUAACGGCUCACCAAGGCGACGAUGCGUAGCCGACCUGAGAGGGUGAACGGCCACACUGGGACUGAGACACGGCCCAGACUCCUACGGGAGGCAGCAGUAGGGAAUCUUCCGCAAUGGGCGAAAGCCUGACGGAGCAAUGCCGCGUGAGUGAUGAAGGUUUUCGGAUCGUAAAGCUCUGUUGCCA
Molecule: ribosomal RNA, 331 nt
Filed under: uncultured Paenibacillus sp.
Lineage: Bacteria; Bacillati; Bacillota; Bacilli; Caryophanales; Paenibacillaceae
Description: bacterial SSU rRNA
Rfam family: Bacterial small subunit ribosomal RNA
Source: RNAcentral